Varanus komodoensis (Komodo dragon) is the source of this 426-nucleotide long non-coding RNA. RefSeq lists it as uncharacterized. The transcript has 2 exons. The record is from RefSeq and is a predicted model, not a curated record. Lineage: Eukaryota; Metazoa; Chordata; Lepidosauria; Squamata; Varanidae.
AGGAGGAGGAGGAGUGAAGGCGAGCUGCAAGUUCAGUUCCGUGCCUGCUGCACGCGCGCGAGCGGCCGCUUGCGAAAAGUUUGCACGGUGGCCUGGCGCUGCUUUGUGCUGAAGCGCUUUGCAAACGGUGCAAGCAUGCGAGCGAGCAAAGGGGAGUCGGAGUCUCUUUUCUGCCCUUGUUCUUCAUCUUUCGCCUGAGUCUCGCGGUUUUCCCUAACGGAGACCUGGGGAUUUUCCCCAGUAAGAAAGAAGAUGCAAGAUAUGCUGGAAUAACACAGGAAGGGAAACUCAAAAUGGCUUGACCUGCUUCCCCUGGCCCAUAAAAUUUUGCAAAUGGGGCAGAUGAUGGUGGUUAUCCUAAGGAAACUUAGGACUGGGAAUAAUUUUCUUGGUUACUCUGAAUAGAUUUGUUUGUUCUUUAAUUCA